This 1028-nucleotide long non-coding RNA is filed under the name Drosophila melanogaster (fruit fly). RNAcentral describes it as "flamenco (Dmel_CR46037)". Lineage: Eukaryota; Metazoa; Arthropoda; Insecta; Diptera; Drosophilidae. The record is from RNAcentral.
AGUUGCUUUAUGACGCCGGGCGCGUGCGCAUUUAAAACAAUUCUCGAAAGAAAUGUUCACAAAUUAGUUUAAAUUCGAAAACGUUUCGGUAUGGACGCAAGAAAAAGGAAUUCUAAGAAAUAGAAAUUCUAAGCGAAACAACAACGAAAAAGGAAAAUAAUUUAAAUAGGGAUAAUAAUAUACAAAAACAUAACAACAAAAACACAACGGUAUUAAGGAAUCUGUUUCAGAAUUUCAGUGAGUUAAAUCUGUUAAAAAGUUCUGCGGUUAAUUUGUUUGUUUCUUUAACAAAAAACGUAAUCUAAUAUUUUAAUUAUUAUCAUCAGCUCAGCAGCAGUGUAGAAUAUAUUGGCCUAAAAUACUAGAUAUUUAGCAUUGGACUGGGUGUUAAUUAUUUCUAUGCCGGUUUGCUGCAAGUAUUUGUUGUCAUUGAUCAAUUAGCUUCCUAGCUUUCAAGCGAACGGUCGUGUUUUUUUUUUGCGCUCCGAUUCCUAUUUUGUGUUUGUCAAACCAGCCAAGGUAUUUAAUAAUUUAAAUUUAAAUUUUUUAAUUUAAUAAUUUUCUUUCAUUAUUAUACAUACAUGUACAUAUGUACAUAUAUGGUCAACAUAAUUAUUAAAGGUGAUUCGCAGUGCUGUUUGGAGUUGUUUUUGUAUGUACAUAAACUGCACUGUGCACCUAUUCUCUCGCUCCCACUCUUUCGCUCUCCCACACAAAAUCUAAAAUUUCUGACUGCUCUCUUGCGGUUCUUUUAACAGCUCGCUUAAAUGUUUUGAUCUUGUGUGUUUUGCACAGUGGUCUGAUUUUAGACAAACAUGGAAACAAUAAAUGUUGUCUGCUUGUAUAAAAUUUUCUUCAUUUGUGUUUCUUUAUUUUCUCUAUUGUUCUUAGUAUUGAUAGUUCAUUUACGGUUUUGUGAAGGCGUUCUAUGUCUGCUAUUGCUGUUUUACUUGUGGUAAUAUCUAUUUGUAUGUCUUGGUUGUUAAGCCAAAUUUUUAAAUAAGUGCUUAAAAACCGCUUUAAUUUUC